RNAcentral lists this ribosomal RNA (254 nucleotides) under uncultured bacterium. Its description in RNAcentral is "partial 16S ribosomal RNA". It matches the Rfam family "Bacterial small subunit ribosomal RNA", at positions 524 to 776 of the family's 1533-position model. The record is from RNAcentral.
UACGUAGGUGGCAAGCGUUUGUCCGGAUUUACUAGGCGUAAAGAGCGCGCAGGCGGUCGGAUAAGUCGAAUGUGAAAGCCCCCGGCUCAACUGGGGAGGGUCAUUCGAUACUGUUCGACUCGAAGGCAGGAGAGGGAAGUGGAAUUCCCGGUGUAGUGGUGAAAUGCGUAGAUAUCAUGAGGAAUACCAGAGGCGAAGGCGGCUACCUGGACAAUUGCUGACGCUCAGGCACGAAAGCGUGGGGAGCAAAAGGG